This 253-nucleotide ribosomal RNA is filed under the name uncultured bacterium. RNAcentral describes it as "partial 16S ribosomal RNA". It matches the Rfam family "Bacterial small subunit ribosomal RNA", at positions 524 to 776 of the family's 1533-position model. The record is from RNAcentral.
UACGGAGGGUGCAAGCGUUAUCCGGAUUCACUGGGUUUAAAGGGUGCGUAGGUGGGUCGGUAAGUCAGUGGUGAAAUCUCCGAGCUUAACUUGGAAACUGCCAUUGAUACUAUCGAUCUUGAAUACUGUGGAGGUUAGCGGAAUAUGUCAUGUAGCGGUGAAAUGCUUAGAUAUGACAUAGAACACCAAUUGCGAAGGCAGCUGGCUACACAAAUAUUGACACUGAGGCACGAAAGCGUGGGGAUCAAACAGG